Triticum urartu is the source of this 358-nucleotide long non-coding RNA. RefSeq lists it as uncharacterized. Lineage: Eukaryota; Viridiplantae; Streptophyta; Magnoliopsida; Poales; Poaceae. The record is from RefSeq and is a predicted model, not a curated record.
UUCCACCUCCCUGCAGAUCCACACUUUGUCGGGCGGAGGGAGCGGGGCAGAGCCUCCAGCAUCGCUGGGAGCAAUGGCCCAUGCCCGGCGGCACUGAGGUGGCACAUCACAAUAUGAAGCACCGCUCCCGAUCCAUAGGUUUGUGGGCGGCACAUCCAUGGUGGAGACUUGGGUCAAAGGCAAGCCCACGGAAGUCAGCUCCAAUCCAGUCUUCUAAGCAGGGGUGUGGGAACUGAGGCCUGCUCAAGGUGCUAUCAGUUUUUUUUCUCUGACCAUGAAAAAGGGGAUUUGAAAAUAAAGCUUCGAUGGCAUGCAGAAACAGAGCAUGUGGUUGGAUCAACAAUAGAACAACCUACGG